This 92-nucleotide non-coding RNA is filed under the name marine eukaryotic metagenome. RNAcentral describes it as "Cyclic di-GMP-I riboswitch". It matches the Rfam family "c-di-GMP-I riboswitch aptamer". Rfam says of the family: GEMM was predicted in a large-scale screen for bacterial structured RNA regulatory elements. Genes associated with GEMM are involved in a diverse array of functions, including chemotaxis regulation, signal transduction, secretion and chitin. The record is from RNAcentral.
UCGAUAAAGGCAAACCGCCGGUGACGGCGGGACGCAAAGCCACCGAUCUCGGCCCGGAUCAUCCGCCCGGAACGAGACAGCGGGGUCGCCGA